UUCUUUUCCUUUCGAACGUUAUCACAAACACUCCAUAUUCUAAAUUAUUUUGUAAGAAAAAAAUAUUUCUCUAUUUGAAAAAAUGAAAGCCGAAAGGACGAAGAAGCUCUAUAUAUUUGUUAUUAGUUUCUUUAAUAAAUUUCCAGCUAUUUGAAAAUAAGCUCCAUUUUUCAAGUUGAUAUAUCAUUUUGAUGUCUUGGUAAUGUAUGGUUCACCGGAGCAUACAUUUAAGUUUUUUUGCUAUAUUGUGGACAAUUCAAAAAUAUUUACAGGACCUCUUAUUCAAUUCAACUUCUAUUAGACUUCUUGUUCAACUCAUCUCCUGAUAUGAUGAGUGUUAUCCACUCCUGUUUACAUGUAGAGUUAUCUUAUCAAUAACUUGUCUGCAGCUAAGCUUUGUUCAGUUGGUUGGACCAGCUUUCACGACAUGUUUUAAUCAUAUGUCUAUCAUCAAAACUCCAUAUGCCCUAACAUGUUGUUCUAUUGAUAUGAAUGGGUGAGGUUUAUUUUCUGGGAGCUGGAUGAAGGAUGUCGUGAAUAGGUCUAAUAUAUAUGGUUUACUUUUAGCUCAUAUUAGUAAGUGGGGUUUCACUGUAGUGAAGCAAAGGCUGAAACCUCCUAUUGAUUUUGUCAAUAUGUAUGAGUAUGUCUUUAUAUCUGUUUUAUUGCAGGUCAUUAUUUUUGGUAUAUCUCCGACAUAAAUCACCGUAUAAAUAAAGCUUAUUAAUUCAUAAUAUAGUUGAAAUGACAAUACUUCAUGCAUGUUACAAUUGAGCAGCAACUUCAGAACUUAUAAUUGGUUAAAGUGAAACUUCUGGU
Long non-coding RNA from Capsicum annuum, 819 nucleotides. RefSeq lists it as uncharacterized. NCBI's taxonomy places the organism in Eukaryota, Viridiplantae, Streptophyta, Magnoliopsida, Solanales, Solanaceae. The record is from RefSeq and is a predicted model, not a curated record. The transcript has 3 exons.